RNAcentral lists this ribosomal RNA (353 nucleotides) under uncultured Methanosaeta sp. RNAcentral describes it as "bacterial SSU rRNA". It matches the Rfam family "Archaeal small subunit ribosomal RNA", at positions 93 to 448 of the family's 1478-position model. The record is from RNAcentral. Lineage: Archaea; Methanobacteriati; Methanobacteriota; Methanomicrobia; Methanotrichales; Methanotrichaceae.
GUAACACGUGGACAACCUGCCCUUAGGUUGGGUAUAAACCCGGGAAACUGGGUAUAAUCCCCUAUAAGUCUCGGCUGCUGGAAUGCACCGAGAUUAAAAGCUCCGGCGCCUAAGGAUGGGUCUGCGGCCUAUCAGGUAGUAGUGGGUGUAGCGUACCUACUAGCCUACGACGGGUACGGGUUGUGAGAGCAAGAGCCCGGAGAUGGAUUCUGAGACACGAAUCCAGGCCCUACGGGGUGCAGCAGGCGCGAAAACUUUACAAUGCUGGCAACAGCGAUAAGGGAACCUCGAGUGCCAGGUUACAAAUCUGGCUGUCGAGAUGCCUAAAAGCAUUUCAUAGCAAGGGCCGGGCA